This 543-nucleotide ribosomal RNA is filed under the name Deontostoma quadridentatum. RNAcentral describes it as "SSU rRNA". It matches the Rfam family "Eukaryotic small subunit ribosomal RNA", at positions 1158 to 1723 of the family's 1831-position model. The record is from RNAcentral. Lineage: Eukaryota; Metazoa; Nematoda; Enoplea; Enoplida; Leptosomatidae. RNAcentral also lists the same sequence under 1 other name.
GGAAGGGCACCACCAGGAGUGGAGCCUGCGGCUUAAUUUGACUCAACGCGGGGAAACUCACCCGGCCCGGACACCGUUAGGAUUGACAGAUUGAUAGCUCUUUCUUGAUUCGGUGGGUGGUGGUGCAUGGCCGUUCUUAGUUGGUGGAGCGAUUUGUCUGGUUAAUUCCGAUAACGAACGAGACUCUAGCCUACUAAACUAGGCAAUGAAUUUGGUUGUUCAUUGAACUUCUUAGAGGGACAAAGGGUAUAUAGCCCUACGAGAUUGAGCAAUAACAGGUCUGUGAUGCCCUUAGAUGUCCGGGGCUGCACGCGCGCUACACUGAAGGAAUCAACGUGCUUGAUAACCUUGUCCGGAAGGACUGGGUAACCCGUUGAAACUCCUUCGUGCUUGGGAUAGGGACUUGUAAUUAUUUCCCUUGAACGAGGAAUUCCUAGUAAGUGCGGGUCAUCAUCUCGCGUUGAUUACGUCCCUGCCCUUUGUACACACCGCCCGUCGCUACUACCGAUUGGAUGAUUUAGUGAGGCCUUCGGACUGGUAACG